RNAcentral lists this ribosomal RNA (449 nucleotides) under uncultured bacterium. RNAcentral describes it as "bacterial SSU rRNA". It matches the Rfam family "Bacterial small subunit ribosomal RNA", at positions 29 to 524 of the family's 1533-position model. The record is from RNAcentral.
AGCGAACGCUGGCGGCAUGCUUAACACAUGCAAGUCGCACGGGCAGCAAUGUCAGUGGCGGACGGGUGAGUAACGCGUAGGAACAUGUCCAGUGGUGGGGAUAACGUUGGGAAACUGACGCUAAUACCGCAUGAGCCCUGAGGGGGAAAGCAGCGAUGCGCCGAUGGAGUGGCCUGCGUAGGAUUAGCUUGUUGGUGGGGUAAUGGCCUACCAAGGCUACGAUCCUUAGCUGGUCUGAGAGGACGAUCAGCCACAUUGGGACUGAGACACGGCCCAAACUCCUACGGGAGGCAGCAGUGGGGAAUAUUGGACAAUGGGCGCAAGCCUGAUCCAGCAAUGCCGCGUGUGUGAAGAAGGUCUUCGGAUUGUAAAAUUCUUUUGCAGGGGAAGAUAAUGACGGUACCCUGCGAAUAAGCUCCGGCUAACUUCGUGCCAGCAGCCGCGGUAAU